UAAAUACAGGACAGCACACAUGAUUUGCAAUCAUCUUUAGGAUGAAAAUGAAAUGAAAUGAAAUAAAAAUGAAAUACACAGGAGUUGAUAAGAAAUGAAGUUGAUGCGGGCGGACCUAAGACAAAUUAAGUGGUGUGAUUUGCUGUGGCACUGGGCUCAUUUUGCAUAUUGCCAUUUGGACAGCGGAUUCGUAGAUCAAUCUCAUUGAUAAGUGAAGAUACCUUAUCAGUGUAAGUCGAGGCGACAUACAUCAAUAAGCCAGUUGUUGCCAACCGUUGAUGAGAAAUGAAGGUGACGCGGGCGGACCUAAGACAAAUUAUGUGGUGUGGUUUGCUGUGGCACUGGGCUCAUUUUGCAUAUUGCCAUUUGGACAGCGGAUUCGUAGAUCAAUCUCAUUGAUAAGUGAAGAUACCUUAUCAGUGUAAGUCGAGGCGACAUACAUCAAUAAGCCAG
This 453-nucleotide long non-coding RNA is filed under the name Leguminivora glycinivorella. Its description in RNAcentral is "uncharacterized LOC125224722". Lineage: Eukaryota; Metazoa; Arthropoda; Insecta; Lepidoptera; Tortricidae. The record is from RNAcentral.